Molecule: ribosomal RNA, 2607 nt
Filed under: Clostridioides difficile
Lineage: Bacteria; Bacillati; Bacillota; Clostridia; Peptostreptococcales; Peptostreptococcaceae
Description: 23S ribosomal RNA
Rfam family: Bacterial large subunit ribosomal RNA
Source: RNAcentral
UGGGGUUGCGGACAUAUCAUAACGAAGAGGUAUCGUAAUUGAAGAGGUUUGGAAAGACCCACCACAGAAGGUAAUAGUCCUGUAUGUUAAACGAGAAGACUUUAGAUAUGAUCCAGAGUACCACGGGACACGUGAAACCCUGUGGGAAGCAGGAGGGACCACCCUCCAAGGCUAAAUACUACCUAGUGACCGAUAGCGUAUAGUACCGUGAGGGAAAGGUGAAAAGAACCCCGGGAGGGGAGUGAAAUAGAACCUGAAACCCUGCACUUACAAGCUGUGGAAGCACAUUUCUUGUGUGACCGCGUACUUUUUGUAGAACGGGCCAACGAGUUACGUUAAGUAGCAAGGUUAAGCACUUAAGGUGUGGAGCCGUAGCGAAAGCGAGUUUUAACUGAGCGUUCAGUUACUUGACGUAGACCCGAAACCGGGCGACCUACCCAUGAGCAGGAUGAAGCGAAAGUAAAAUUUCGUGGAGGUCCGAACCCACGAGCGUUGAAAAGCUCGGGGAUGACUUGUGGGUAGCGGUGAAAUUCCAAUCGAGCCCGGAGAUAGCUGGUUCUCCCCGAAAUAGCUUUAGGGCUAGCCUCAAGGUGAGAGAUACGGAGGUAGAGCACUGAAUGUCCUAGGGGGUAUUGCACCUACCGAAGACUAUCAAACUCCGAAUGCCGUCAUCUUAUACUUGGGAGUCAGACUGUGGGUGAUAAGAUUCAUAGUCGAAAGGGCAACAGCCCAGAUCGUCAGCUAAGGUCCCUAAAUGUAAGUUAAGUGGUAAAGGAUGUGGGAUUGCACAGACAACCAGGAUGUUGGCUUAGAAGCAGCCACUCAUUCAAAGAGUGCGUAAUAGCUCACUGGUCGAGUGAUCCUGCGCCGAAGAUUUCCGGGGCUAAAACUUACUACCGAAGCUACGGCAUCAGUAAUGAUGGGUAGGGGAGCUUCCCAUACGGGUUGAAGCAUGACCGUAAGGACAUGUGGACAGUAUGGGAGUGAGAAUGUUGGCAUGAGUAGCGAGAUGUGGGUGAGAAUCCCACAGGCCGUAAACCCAAGGUUUCCAGGGGAAGGUUCGUCCGCCCUGGGUUAGUCGGGACCUAAGCUGAGGCCGAAAGGCGUAGGUGAUGGACAACAGGUUGAUAUUCCUGUACUACCGAUAACCGUUUGAGAGAAGGGAUGACACAGUAGGAUAAGCUAAGCACACUGUUGGUUAUGUGUGCCCAAGCAUUGAGGCAGUCAAAGUAGGCAAAUCCGCUUUGAUAAUGCUGGGAUGUGAUGGGGAGCGAAAUUUAGUAGCGAAGUAGCUGAUUUCACACUGUCAAGAAAAGUCUCUAUCGAGGUUAAAGGUACCCGUACCGCAAACCGACACAGGUGGGUGAGGAGAGUAUCCUAAGGCCAGCGAGAGAACUGUUGUUAAGGAACUCGGCAAAAUGACCCCGUAACUUAGGGAUAAGGGGUGCCACCAUCAGGUGGCCGCAGAGAAUAGGCCCAAGCGACUGUUUACCAAAAACAUAGGUUUCUGCUAAGUCGCAAGACGAUGUAUAGGAGCUGACGCCUGCCCGGUGCUGGAAGGUUAAGGGGAUCUGUUAGAGCAAUCGAAGCAGUGAACUUAAGCCCCAGUAAACGGCGGCCGUAACUAUAACGGUCCUAAGGUAGCGAAAUUCCUUGUCGGGUAAGUUCCGACCCGCACGAAAGGCGUAACGAUUUGGGCACUGUCUCAACAACAGACUCGGUGAAAUUGUAAUUCCGGUGAAGAUGCCGGAUACCUGCGACAGGACGGAAAGACCCCAUGGAGCUUUACUGUAGCUUGACAUUGGGUCUUGGUACUACAUGUACAGGAUAGGUGGGAGGCUUUGAAACCAGGACGCCAGUUUUGGCGGAGCCAUCCUUGGGAUACCACCCUUGUAGUACUGGGACUCUAACCAUAGGCCAUGAAUCUGGUCUUGGGACACUGUCAGGUGGGCAGUUUGACUGGGGCGGUCGCCUCCCAAAAGGUAACGGAGGCGCUCAAAGGUUCUCUCAGUACGGUCGGAAAUCGUACGUAGAGUGUAAAGGCAAAAGAGAGCUUGAUUGCAAGACAUACAGGUCGAGCAAGGAUGAAAAUCGGACUUAGUGAUCCGGUGGUUCUGCGUGGAAGGGCCAUCGCUCAACGGAUAAAAGCUACCCUGGGGAUAACAGGCUUAUCUCCCCCAAGAGUCCACAUCGACGGGGAGGUUUGGCACCUCGAUGUCGGCUCAUCACAUCCUGGGGCUGUAGUAGGUCCCAAGGGUUGGGCUGUUCGCCCAUUAAAGUGGUACGCGAGCUGGGUUCAGAACGUCGUGAGACAGUUCGGUCCCUAUCCGUCGCAGGCGUAGGAAAUUUGAGAAGACCUGUCCUUAGUACGAGAGGACCGGGAUGGACGUACCUCUGGUGUACCAGUUGUCCUGCCAAGGGCAUGGCUGGGUAGCUAUGUACGGAAUGGAUAAGCGCUGAAAGCAUCUAAGCGCGAAGCCAACUUCAAGAUAAGAUUUCCCACCGCAAGGGUAAGACCCCAGAAAGACUAUCUGGUUGAUAGGUCGAAGGUGUAAGUGCAGCAAUGUAUUUAGCUUAUCGAUACUAAUAGGUCGAGGACUUGACCAA